RNAcentral lists this unclassified non-coding RNA (234 nucleotides) under Chytridiomycota sp. RNAcentral's name for it is "partial contains small subunit ribosomal RNA, internal transcribed spacer 1, and 5.8S ribosomal RNA". The stretch from base 1 to 47 matches the Rfam family "Eukaryotic small subunit ribosomal RNA", at positions 1785 to 1831 of the family's 1831-position model. Lineage: Eukaryota; Fungi; Chytridiomycota. The record is from RNAcentral.
AAAGUCGUAACAAGGUAACCGUAGGUGAACCUGCGGUUGGAUCAUUACUAAAUGAACCGCCAGUUCUCUUUGCUCCGGCAGAGAUUGAGCAGGCAUCAACCCUUUGUGAACUGUAAUUGUACUUGGGUACAUUUUGCCUAGUGUAAAUUGUGCCCGCCUUUAUUAACACCUUAUAUGUUUAUCUGAAUAAUGAUCUAAGAGAAAUAACUUUUGACAAUGGAUCUCUUGGCUCUC